Molecule: ribosomal RNA, 484 nt
Filed under: uncultured bacterium
Lineage: Bacteria
Description: partial 16S ribosomal RNA
Rfam family: Bacterial small subunit ribosomal RNA
Source: RNAcentral
AUUGAACGCUGGCGGCAGGCCUAACACAUGCAAGUCGAGCGGACGAAGGGAGCUUGCUCCUGGAUUCAGCGGCGGACGGGUGAGUAAUGCCUAGGAAUCUGCCUGGUAGUGGGGGAUAACGUCCGGAAACGGGCGCUAAUACCGCAUACGUCCUGAGGGAGAAAGUGGGGGAUCUUCGGACCUCACGCUAUCAGAUGAGCCUAGGUCGGAUUAGCUAGUUGGUGGGGUAAAGGCCUACCAAGGCGACGAUCCGUAACUGGUCUGAGAGGAUGAUCAGGCACACUGGAACGGAGACACGGUCCAGACUCCUACGGGAGGCAGCAGUGGGGAAUUUUGGACAAUGGGCGAAAGCCUGAUCCAGCCAUGCCGCGUGUGUGAAGAAGGUCUUCGGAUUGUAAAGCACUUUAAGUUGGGAGGAAGGGCAGUAAGUUAAUACCUUGCUGUGUUGACGUUACCAACAGAAUAAGCACCGGCUAACUUCGUG